This 657-nucleotide long non-coding RNA is filed under the name Citrus sinensis (sweet orange). Its description in RNAcentral is "long non-coding RNA (CSIN_LNC005702)". Lineage: Eukaryota; Viridiplantae; Streptophyta; Magnoliopsida; Sapindales; Rutaceae. The record is from RNAcentral.
CUUAAAGCAAAUAAAAAUAGCCAAACUCUUACAUUCUCUGGCUAUAAUGUAUGUGACAUAAAAAAUAUAACCAUAAAGCAAAUAAGCAUAGAAAUUACAUUCAACAGCAAGAUUCAGUACAUUUUUUGGCCAUAAAAUUACAGUAGUGUUUCAAAACUCCAGGCACAAACAUAAGCUUAUAAUGAAAGAUUAAUUCCAUACCAGGUGCAGGCAUGUAAUCCCAGUAAGACACAUGCUUAAUGCUUUGGGAUUCAGCAGUUGUGUCUUGCUGAGAUGACAUGCCAUUGUAACAUGCAACUGAUAAGAACAGCAAAAGUCAAUGAAGAUACGCCAUUUCCCUAAUAAUAAAUAUGACCAGAACUAAACUGACAAGCACAUUCAAAAGAUAUACUGAUGGUGGAUCUGUUUUAUGGCUUAACUGAGGUAUCUCCAGGGAAAUGAAAGACCUCCUUUUGUUGCUGCUACCAGCCCCGUCAGAAGCAGCCGUUAAACUGGAAAUGUAAAGCUUCUUUUUGCUGCUGCUAGUGGAUCCGUUAGAGCUAGAGUUUGAAUCUUUUCUUUCCCUUGUUUUUUGUGCCAUUUUCUUGUCUUUGACUAACCUCAUAGUGGCUUUUUCUGUUCGGGGAAGAUCAACAGCAUGAUGUACAGCUUCUCCCA